GAUGAACGCUGGCGGCGUGCCUAAUACAUGCAAGUCGAGCGAACGGACGAGAAGCUUGCUUCUCUGAUGUUAGCGGCGGACGGGUGAGUAACACGUGGAUAACCUACCUAUAAGACUGGGAUAACUUCGGGAAACCGGAGCUAAUACCGGAUGAUAUUUUGAACCGCAUGGUUCAAAAGUGAAAGACGGUCUUGCUGUCACUUAUAGAUGGAUCCGCGCCGCAUUAGCUAGUUGGUAAGGUAACGGCUUACCAAGGCAACGAUGCAUAGCCGACCUGAGAGGGUGAUCGGCCACACUGGAACUGAGACACGGUCCAGACUCCUACGGGAGGCAGCAGUAGGGAAUCUUCCGCAAUGGGCGAAAGCCUGACGGAGCAACGCCGCGUGAGUGAUGAAGGUCUUCGGAUCGUAAAACUCUGUUAUUAGGGAAGAACAUAUGUGUAAGUAACUGUGCACAUCUUGACGGUACCUAAUCAGAAAGCCACGGCUAACUACGUG
Molecule: ribosomal RNA, 497 nt
Filed under: uncultured bacterium
Lineage: Bacteria
Description: partial 16S ribosomal RNA
Rfam family: Bacterial small subunit ribosomal RNA
Source: RNAcentral